RNAcentral lists this ribosomal RNA (606 nucleotides) under Euhadra callizona. RNAcentral's name for it is "partial 12S ribosomal RNA". The record is from RNAcentral. Lineage: Eukaryota; Metazoa; Mollusca; Gastropoda; Stylommatophora; Camaenidae.
GUGCAUAAUUUUAGAUGUAUUCAUUAAUUAUACGUAAUGGACAUUACAUUUAAGUCCCCCUUUGGUAGCUUUUUCAGAGCUCCCUCUGCGAAUCUAAUGUAACUCGCCUAAUCUUCUAGAUUGUCUGCACCUUGAUCUGUAAUAUAGUAUACGUUACUAAUGGAUAAUAUAUUAUAUAUUAUCUGUUGACGACGGCAUACAAAAUUCUACAUGAAGUAGAUUACCUUGGUGGUUAUCAAUUACUUGGUAAGUUCCCCUAAAUUUUAAAAUUACCGCCAUGCUAUUUGAGUUUUAACCUAGUAGGUCUUAGUACUCAGUGUGUUGUUGCGGGUAUUGUAUAGAAGGGUAUCUAAUCCUUGUUUAUGUGCAAUAUUUAUAUAUAAUGGCAACUAAUUAGGUUGAAAAUAAUAUUUCACCAAUAUGUGUACUUAGCUGUAUAACACUUUUAGUAUUCAUAACUAUAGAAGUCUGACCGCGACUGCUGGCACUUUUUUAGUCAUAGUUAAUAAACUGGUUUAAUCUUACUUCCGUAAGUUUAUAAAUUUUCUUACCUGGAAACCCUAUAAGUACCAUAAGUAUCCUAUUUGGUACGAACGUUUUCACCAU